AAACAAAUAGGGCGGGUUUUUUUUUUUUUCCCCCCCCCCCACCCAAAAAAAAAAGGGGGGGGGGUUUUUUUUGGUGGUACCAAAAUUCGGGCUAGACUAGUGAAGCUYGUMCUCYWAUUGAUGUUAACUAUGAUUAAUUGUAAAUUUGACUUUAAUAGUUUUGGGUGAAAUCAGGAUUAUUUAUAAGAGAAUAUUCAUAGUUUUAAAUUUUGAAGAACGAAUUAGAUUAGUACCUAAUUAGACAAAACUUAAAAGAGCAGGAGUAAAGUUGUAUUUAAACUGAAAGGAUAUUGGCAGGCUUUCUAAAUUAUCUUUGGAGGUUGAGUGAUAAUUGAGAACCCUCAUUAACUACUUGGUCUGUUGAUUCAUGUAUGAUCGUUUAGUAUAUUCUUAAAGAUUAUAGUUAAAGAUUUUUAUCUAUUAAAACAGAUAUAUACCUGGUCUAUGAUUCGAGUAAUAUUUGACCUACACUAUUCUAAGAUGUGGAUAAUUAAGGUAGUUCUUGAUUUGAAAAUGUAAAAGACAGUAAAGAAUUCUUCAUGUAUUCUUGAAGAUUAUCUAGAGGCGGUACWAAUCAUCCAUCAAUUGCCUAUAGGGGAGUA
Molecule: non-coding RNA, 602 nt
Filed under: Heterorhabditis sp. Pak.B.H.340
Lineage: Eukaryota; Metazoa; Nematoda; Chromadorea; Rhabditida; Heterorhabditidae
Source: RNAcentral